AGCACUUUGGCGCAGAGGAAGCGGGUUGGGCUCAUAACCCAAAGUCGUUAUAUCGAGACCAACAAGUGCUA
Molecule: transfer RNA, 71 nt
Organism: Phytophthora infestans T30-4
Lineage: Eukaryota; Oomycota; Peronosporomycetes; Peronosporales; Peronosporaceae
Rfam family: tRNA
About the family: Transfer RNA (tRNA) molecules are approximately 80 nucleotides in length. Their secondary structure includes four short double-helical elements and three loops (D, anti-codon, and T loops). Further hydrogen bonds mediate the characteristic L-shaped molecular structure. tRNAs have two regions of fundamental functional importance: the anti-codon, which is responsible for specific mRNA codon recognition, and the 3' end, to which the tRNAs corresponding amino acid is attached (by aminoacyl-tRNA synthetases). tRNAs cope with the degeneracy of the genetic code in two manners: having more than one tRNA (with a specific anti-codon) for a particular amino acid; and 'wobble' base-pairing, i.e. permitting non-standard base-pairing at the 3rd anti-codon position.
Source: Rfam